GAUGAAGAACGUAGCGAAAUGCGAUACGUAAUGUGAAUUGCAGAAUUCAGUGAAUCAUCGAAUCUUUGAACGCAUAUUGCGCUCUCUGGUAUUCCGGAGAGCAUGCUUGUUUGAGUAUCAGUAAACACCUCAACUUCCAUAUCUUUUUUGAAAUGGGAGUUGGACUUGAGUGAUCCCAACGCUUUUCCUCACCGAAAAGUGGCGGGUUACUUGAAAUGCAGGUGCAGCUGGACUUUUCUCUGAGCUAUAAGCAUAUCUAUUUAGUCUGCCUAAAAAACAGAUUAUUGCCUUUGCUGCAGCUAACAUAAAGGAGAUUAGUUCUUGUGCUGACUGAUGCAGGAUUCACAAAGACAGCUUCGGCCGACUUUGUAAACUCGAUCUCAAAUCAAGUAAGACUACCCGCUGAACUUAAGCAUAUCAAUAAGCGGAGGA
This 432-nucleotide unclassified non-coding RNA is filed under the name soil metagenome. RNAcentral describes it as "partial contains 5.8S ribosomal RNA, internal transcribed spacer 2, and large subunit ribosomal RNA". The stretch from base 1 to 120 matches the Rfam family "5.8S ribosomal RNA", at positions 35 to 154 of the family's 154-position model. The record is from RNAcentral.